This 440-nucleotide ribosomal RNA is filed under the name uncultured bacterium. Its description in RNAcentral is "bacterial SSU rRNA". It matches the Rfam family "Bacterial small subunit ribosomal RNA", at positions 958 to 1399 of the family's 1533-position model. The record is from RNAcentral.
AACGCGAAGAACCUUACCCAGGCUUGACAUGCAAAGGACAGCGCCAGAAAUGGCGUCUUCUUUCGAGACCUUUGCACAGGUGCUGCAUGGCUGUCGUCAGCUCGUGCCGUGAGGUGUUGGGUUAAGUCCCGCAACGAGCGCAACCCUUAUCAUUAGUUGCCAACAUUUCGGAUGGGAACUCUAAUGAGACUGCCUGGGUUAACCAGGAGGAAGGUGAGGAUGACGUCAAGUCCGCAUGGCCCUUAUGUCUGGGGCUACACACGUGCUACAAUGGCCGGUACAGAAGGCAGCAAAUCCGCGAGGUAGAGCAAAUCCCAAAAACCGGUCCCAGUUCGGAUUGUAGUCUGCAACUCGACUACAUGAAGUUGGAAUUGCUAGUAAUGGCGUGUCAGCAACAACGCCGUGAAUACGUUCCCGGGCCUUGUACACACCGACGCGUA